RNAcentral lists this ribosomal RNA (455 nucleotides) under Staphylococcus pseudintermedius. RNAcentral's name for it is "bacterial SSU rRNA". It matches the Rfam family "Bacterial small subunit ribosomal RNA", at positions 485 to 938 of the family's 1533-position model. The record is from RNAcentral. Lineage: Bacteria; Bacillati; Bacillota; Bacilli; Caryophanales; Staphylococcaceae.
AGAAAGCCACGGCUAACUACGUGCCAGCAGCCGCGGUAAUACGUAGGUGGCAAGCGUUAUCCGGAAUUAUUGGGCGUAAAGCGCGCGUAGGCGGUUUUUUAAGUCUGAUGUGAAAGCCCACGGCUCAACCGUGGAGGGUCAUUGGAAACUGGAAAACUUGAGUGCAGAAGAGGAAAGUGGAAUUCCAUGUGUAGCGGUGAAAUGCGCAGAGAUAUGGAGGAACACCAGUGGCGAAGGCGGCUUUCUGGUCUGCAACUGACGCUGAUGUGCGAAAGCGUGGGGAUCAAACAGGAUUAGAUACCCUGGUAGUCCACGCCGUAAACGAUGAGUGCUAAGUGUUAGGGGGUUUCCGCCCCUUAGUGCUGCAGCUAACGCAUUAAGCACUCCGCCUGGGGAGUACGGUCGCAAGACUGAAACUCAAAGGAAUUGACGGGGACCCGCACAAGCGGUGGAGC